Molecule: ribosomal RNA, 253 nt
Filed under: uncultured bacterium
Lineage: Bacteria
Description: partial 16S ribosomal RNA
Rfam family: Bacterial small subunit ribosomal RNA
Source: RNAcentral
UACAGAGGGUGCGAGCGUUAAUCGGAAUUACUGGGCGUAAAGCGUGCGCAGGCGGUUUUGUAAGUCUGUCGUGAAAUCCCCGGGCUCAACCUGGGAAUGGCGAUGGAGACUGCAAGGCUAGAAUCUGGCAGAGGGGGGUAGAAUUCCACGUGUAGCAGUGAAAUGCGUAGAGAUGUGGAGGAACACCGAUGGCGAAGGCAGCCCCCUGGGUCAAGAUUGACGCUCAUGCACGAAAGCGUGGGGAGCAAACAGG